GACGGAGCAACCGCCGCGUGAUGAUGAAGGUUUUUCGGAUGUUAAAAUUUUGUUGUUAGGGAAGGACAAGUACCGUUNGAUAAGGGCGGUACCUUGACGGUCCCUAACCAGAAAGCCACGGCUAANUACGUGCCAGCAGCCGCGGUAAUACGUAGGUGGCAAGCGUUGUCCGGAAUUAUUGGGCGUAAAGCGCGCGCAGGCGGUUUCUUAAGUCUGAUGUGAAAGCCCCCGGCUCAACCGGGGAGGGUCAUUGGAAACUGGGGAACUUGAGUGCAGAAGAGGAGAGUGGAAUUCCACGUGUAGCGGUGAAAUGCGUAGAGAUGUGGAGGAACACCAGUGGCGAAGGCGACUCUCUGGUCUGUAACUGACGCUGAGGCGCGAAAGCGUGGGGAGCGAACAGGAUUAGAUACCCUGGUAGUCCACGCCGUAAACGAUGAGUGCUAAGUGUUAGAGGGUUUCCGCCCUUUAGUGCUGCAGCAAACGCAUUAAGCACUCCGCCUGGGGAGUACGGUCGCAAGACUGAAACUCAAAGGAAUUGACGGGGGCCCGCACAAGCGGUGGAGCAUGUGGUUUAAUUCGAAGCAACGCGAAGAACCUUACCAGGUCUUGACAUCCUCUGACAACCCUAGAGAUAGGGCUUCCCCUUCGGGGGCAGAGUGACAGGUGGUGCAUGGUUGUCGUCAGCUCGUGUCGUGAGAUGUUGGGUUAAGUCCCGCAACGAGCGCAACCCUUGAUCUUAGUUGCCAGCAUUCAGUUGGGCACUCUAAGGUGACUGCCGGUGACAAACCGGAGGAAGGUGGGGAUGACGUCAAAUCAUCAUGCCCCUUAUGACCUGGGCUACACACGUGCUACAAUGGGCAGAACAAAGGGCAGCGAAGCCGCGAGGCUAAGCCAAUCCCACAAAUCUGUUCUCAG
RNAcentral lists this ribosomal RNA (915 nucleotides) under Bacillus licheniformis. Its description in RNAcentral is "bacterial SSU rRNA". It matches the Rfam family "Bacterial small subunit ribosomal RNA", at positions 385 to 1291 of the family's 1533-position model. Lineage: Bacteria; Bacillati; Bacillota; Bacilli; Caryophanales; Bacillaceae. The record is from RNAcentral.